GAUGAACGCUAGCGGCAGGCUUAAUACAUGCAAGUCGAGGGGCAGCAUGACUGUAGCAAUACAGUUGAUGGCGACCGGCAAACGGGUGCGGAACACGUACAGAACCUUCCUUCGAGCGGGGAAUAGCCCAGAGAAAUUUGGAUUAAUACCCCAUAGUAUAUUAGAGUGGCAUCACUUUGAUAUUAAAGAUUUAUCACUUGAAGAUGGCUGUGCGGCUGAUUAGGUAGUUGGCAGGGUAACGGCCCACCAAGCCUUCGAUCAGUAACUGGUGUGAGAGCACGACCAGUCACACGGGCACUGAGACACGGGCCCGACUCCUACGGGAGGCAGCAGUAAGGAAUAUUGGUCAAUGGACGAAAGUCUGAACCAGCCAUGCCGCGUGGAGGAUGAAGGUCCUCUGGAUUGUAAACUUCUUUUAUAUGGGACGAAAAAAGGGUUUUCUAACUCGUCUGACGGUACCAUAUGAAUAAGCACCGGCUAACUCCGUGCCAGCAG
RNAcentral lists this ribosomal RNA (495 nucleotides) under uncultured bacterium. Its description in RNAcentral is "bacterial SSU rRNA". It matches the Rfam family "Bacterial small subunit ribosomal RNA", at positions 28 to 514 of the family's 1533-position model. The record is from RNAcentral.